This 253-nucleotide ribosomal RNA is filed under the name uncultured bacterium. Its description in RNAcentral is "partial 16S ribosomal RNA". It matches the Rfam family "Bacterial small subunit ribosomal RNA", at positions 524 to 776 of the family's 1533-position model. The record is from RNAcentral.
UACGUAGGGUGCAAGCGUUAAUCGGAAUUACUGGGCGUAAAGCGCGCGUAGGUGGUUUGUUAAGUUGGAUGUGAAAUCCCCGGGCUCAACCUGGGAACUGCAUUCAAAACUGACAAGCUAGAGUAUGGUAGAGGGUGGUGGAAUAUCCUGUGUAGCGGUGAAAUGCGUAGAUAUAGGAAGGAACACCAGUGGCGAAGGCGACCACCUGGACUGAUACUGACACUGAGGUGCGAAAGCGUGGGGAGCAAACAGG